RNAcentral lists this long non-coding RNA (486 nucleotides) under Homo sapiens (human). Its description in RNAcentral is "HSALNT0082628". The record is from RNAcentral. Lineage: Eukaryota; Metazoa; Chordata; Mammalia; Primates; Hominidae.
CCCAGUGACAGCAGGAAAAUCCUGACCAGAGGAAUCCGAACAAAAUCCAAACAUAUCCGGUUGUGAUGGUCGCCCCAUUGCGUAUAGAGGAAAUGGAGGAAAACUUGGAAGUACCGCCUUCCAUACAAAGUCAAGGAUCGAGACCUUCCUCUCCGCGUUCCAGAAUCCCUCAGGAAAUACGCGCGUGCCUUCGCAUCUAGAGCAAGCGCUGCAAGAAUUCACAGAACGGCCAGAAGUUCCCCAUCCCGCUGGUGGCACUCACUGCGUUAGGCGCUCAGCCUCCAGUCCGGGCCGCUUUGGCUUGAAGACGGCCGUUUUCCUUCCUGAUACCUGCUUCUAGUCUUUCUGCAACUUCUGGAUUCCUGUCAUUCUUAUACCUGCUCUGGGCAGCCUUCCAUUCAUUCUGCGAAUUCCGUGAAGCUUUUCAAUAAAUUGCUUUUCUCCAAUUAGCCUAAAUCUCUUUCAGUUAUUGGCAGCCCAGUGCCC